UGGGGAAUAUUGCACAAUGGGCGCAAGCCUGAUGCAGCAACGCCGCGUGAACGAUGAAGGUCUUCGGAUCGUAAAGUUCUGUUGCAGGGGAAGAUAAUGACGGUACCCUGUGAGGAAGCCCCGGCUAACUACGUGCCAGCAGCCGCGGUAAUACGUAGGGGGCGAGCGUUAUCCGGAUUCAUUGGGCGUAAAGCGCGCGCAGACGGCUCUUCAAGCGGAACCUCUAACCCCGGGGCUCAACCUCGGGCCGGGUUCCGAACUGGAGGGCUCGAGUGCGGUAGAGGCAGGCGGAAUUCCCGGUGUAGCGGUGGAAUGCGCAGAUAUCGGGAAGAACACCGAUGGCGAAGGCAGCCUGCUGGGCCGGCACUGACGCUGAGGCGCGAAAGCUAGGGGAGCGAACAGG
This 403-nucleotide ribosomal RNA is filed under the name Verrucomicrobiota bacterium. RNAcentral describes it as "Verrucomicrobia bacterium partial 16S ribosomal RNA". It matches the Rfam family "Bacterial small subunit ribosomal RNA", at positions 355 to 776 of the family's 1533-position model. Lineage: Bacteria; Pseudomonadati; Verrucomicrobiota. The record is from RNAcentral.